Molecule: transfer RNA, 75 nt
Filed under: Anaerosacchariphilus polymeriproducens
Lineage: Bacteria; Bacillati; Bacillota; Clostridia; Lachnospirales; Lachnospiraceae
Rfam family: tRNA
About the family: Transfer RNA (tRNA) molecules are approximately 80 nucleotides in length. Their secondary structure includes four short double-helical elements and three loops (D, anti-codon, and T loops). Further hydrogen bonds mediate the characteristic L-shaped molecular structure. tRNAs have two regions of fundamental functional importance: the anti-codon, which is responsible for specific mRNA codon recognition, and the 3' end, to which the tRNAs corresponding amino acid is attached (by aminoacyl-tRNA synthetases). tRNAs cope with the degeneracy of the genetic code in two manners: having more than one tRNA (with a specific anti-codon) for a particular amino acid; and 'wobble' base-pairing, i.e. permitting non-standard base-pairing at the 3rd anti-codon position.
Source: Rfam by way of RNAcentral
GCAUCUGUAGCUCAGGGGAUAGAGCAGUGGUUUCCGGUACCAUGUUUUGCGGGGGUUCGAAUCCCUCCAGAUGCG